This 497-nucleotide ribosomal RNA is filed under the name uncultured bacterium. RNAcentral's name for it is "partial 16S ribosomal RNA". It matches the Rfam family "Bacterial small subunit ribosomal RNA", at positions 28 to 507 of the family's 1533-position model. The record is from RNAcentral.
GAUGAACGCUGGCGGCGUGCCUAAUACAUGCAAGUCGAGCGAACGGACGAGAAGCUUGCUUCUCUGAUGUUAGCGGCGGACGGGUGAGUAACACGUGGAUAACCUACCUAUAAGACUGGGAUAACUUCGGGAAACCGGAGCUAAUACCGGAUGAUAUUUUGAACCGCAUGGUUCAAAAGUGAAAGACGGUCUUGCUGUCACUUAUAGAUGGAUCCGCGCUGCAUUAGCUAGUUGGUAAGGUAACGGCUUACCAAGGCAACGAUGCAUAGCCGACCUGAGAGGGUGAUCGGCCACACGGGAGCUGAGACGCGGUCCAGACUCCUGCGGGAGGCAGCAGUAGGGAAUCUUCCGCAAUGGGCGAAAGCCUGACGGAGCAACGCCGCGUGAGUGAUGAAGGUCUUCGGAUCGUAAAACUCUGUUAUUAGGGAAGAACAUAUGUGUAAGUAACUGUGCACAUCUUGACGGUACCUAAUCAGAAAGCCACGGCUAACUACGCG